This 754-nucleotide long non-coding RNA is filed under the name Carassius auratus (goldfish). Its description in RNAcentral is "lncRNA (ENSCARG00000017532.1)". Lineage: Eukaryota; Metazoa; Chordata; Actinopteri; Cypriniformes; Cyprinidae. The record is from RNAcentral.
AGAAAAUUGGACCGAGGUAUAUUGAAAACGGGGGUGAACUGUUAAUUUAGAACCGAAAAGUCAUUGUACAAAGAGUCUACAUGUUGAAUAUUUGAUCGGUUAAUUGAUUAUAUAUUCUAUUUUUUUUAUAAUGUGAAACUGAACAUCAACUAAUACUGUUCUGUUCUAAAUCUGAUCAAUUCCCCCUCUUUCGCACAACGGUCUAUUCAGGAUCUAAGGCUCAUGAUGCAAAGGGAUUCAAUAAGCUGGUAGGUGCUGGCCAACGCAAGGUUUUCAGCUCCACUCUACAGCGAAUGAGCACGGAAAUAUACCGCAGCUUCCUCAUUCAUUUGAAGUGUUUACGCUCAGAUCAGAAAGGCAUCACCCCCACUGAUAACCUGCAGCAGCUGGAGGACAAGGUCAGCUCAGACAGCAGCUCGGAGCCCGUUAAGACCUGAGCCACACACAGAUUCUCAGACUUGGCCAGGAACAAAGGAGCAGCGGCAAGGCUUUUCCCCAUAAUCCUCUAGUGCUCCCUCCCAGCUGGCCGAGCCUGACGGGUGUGCUGACACUGACUGGAUCUGAGUGCUCUCUUUUUCCACCGUGCAGGAUCUGGCUGUGUGGAGGAAGCGGGGGCUAAUUAAUGAGCUGUGAGUAUGAGGCCUCACUGCUGACAGCCAGUGGAGACAGGAUUAAUAGUCCGGUCAUCUGGCUUGAUGUGUGUGCCUCCAGGCUGCCCCUUGACGAGAGUCCACUGCGGAAUCCACUACGGCGG